GUCGUGAGAUGUUGGGUUAAGUCCCGCAACGAGCGCAACCCUUAUCCUAUGUUGCCAGCGCGUAAUGGCGGGGACUCGUAGGAGACUGCCGGGGUCAACUCGGAGGAAGGUGGGGACGACGUCAAGUCAUCAUGCCCCUUAUGUCCAGGGCUACACACGUGCUACAUUGGCGCGUACAGAGGGCUGCGAUACCGCGAGGUGGAGCGAAUCCCUCAAAGCGCGUCUCGGUUCGGAUUGCAGGCUGAAACCCGCCUGCAUGAAGGUGGAGUUGCUAGUAAUCGCGGAUCAGCAUUGCCGCGGUGAAUACGUUCCCGGGUCUUGUACACACCGCCCGUCACACCACGGAAGCAAGCAACACCCGAAGCCUGUGGCCUAACCCGCAAGGGAGGGAGCAGUCGAAGGUGGGGCUCGUGACUGGGGUGAAGUCGUAACAAGGUAGCCGUACCGGAAGGUGCGGCUGGAUCACCUCCUUUCUAGGGAGCUCCAGGACUGGAGCGGUCGGUACGUCCAGCAGCGCAUACCGCGCUGUUCGAGACGGCGCCGGCUCCUAGAACGUCGACCGAGCCUGGCUCAUGGCAUCCCCUCGGGGCGGCCUGCAUGCUGUUGAGUUUUGAGAGACCGGCGGCCAGUCCGGCCGGCGCCUUUCCACGGACCUUGAAAACUGCACAGCAAUGCCAACAUCAGCGUCCGCUCUUGAGCGGGCGCGAUACGGGUAUCACCGGGCCCAACCGGAUCCGCCUCGUGCGGAGCCGAGAAGGCCUGAUCACCGUCAAGAUAAGAAGGGCACACGGUGGAUGCCUAGGCACCAGGAGUCGAAGAAGGGCGUGAACGGCUGCGAUAAGCCGCGGGGAGGCGCUGAAUAGCCUGUGAUCCGCGGAUGC
Molecule: small RNA, 881 nt
Filed under: uncultured Patulibacter sp.
Lineage: Bacteria; Bacillati; Actinomycetota; Thermoleophilia; Solirubrobacterales; Patulibacteraceae
Description: bacterial SSU rRNA
Rfam family: Bacterial small subunit ribosomal RNA (bases 1-473)
Source: RNAcentral